AAAUUGAAGAGUUUGAUCAUGGCUCAGAUUGAACGCUGGCGGCAGGCCUAACACAUGCAAGUCGAACGGUAGCACAGAGAGCUUGCUCUCGGGUGACGAGUGGCGGACGGGUGAGUAAUGUCUGGGAAACUGCCCGAUGGAGGGGGAUAACUACUGGAAACGGUAGCUAAUACCGCAUAACGUCGCAAGACCAAAGUGGGGGACCUUCGGGCCUCACACCAUCGGAUGUGCCCAGAUGGGAUUAGCUAGUAGGUGGGGUAACGGCUCACCUAGGCGACGAUCCCUAGCUGGUCUGAGAGGAUGACCAGCCACACUGGAACUGAGACACGGUCCAGACUCCUACGGGAGGCAGCAGUGGGGAAUAUUGCACAAUGGGCGCAAGCCUGAUGCAGCCAUGCCGCGUGUAUGAAGAAGGCCUUCGGGUUGUAAAGUACUUUCAGCGAGGAGGAAGGCGUUGUGGUUAAUAACCACAGCGAUUGACGUUACUCGCAGAAGAAGCACCGGCUAACUCCGUGCCAGCAGCCGCGGUAAUACGGAGGGUGCAAGCGUUAAUCGGAAUUACUGGGCGUAAAGCGCACGCAGGCGGUUUGUUAAGUCAGAUGUGAAAUCCCCGGGCUCAACCUGGGAACUGCAUUUGAAACUGGCAAGCUUGAGUCUCGUAGAGGGGGGUAGAAUUCCAGGUGUAGCGGUGAAAUGCGUAGAGAUCUGGAGGAAUACCGGUGGCGAAGGCGGCCCCCUGGACAAAGACUGACGCUCAGGUGCGAAAGCGUGGGGAGCAAACAGGAUUAGAUACCCUGGUAGUCCACGCCGUAAACGAUGUCUACUUGGAGGUUGUGCCCUUGAGGCGUGGCUUCCGGAGCUAACGCGUUAAGUAGACCGCCUGGGGAGUACGGCCGCAAGGUUAAAACUCAAAUGAAUUGACGGGGGCCCGCACAAGCGGUGGAGCAUGUGGUUUAAUUCGAUGCAACGCGAAGAACCUUACCUGGUCUUGACAUCCACGGAAGUUUUCAGAGAUGAGAAUGUGCCUUCGGGAACCGUGAGACAGGUGCUGCAUGGCUGUCGUCAGCUCGUGUUGUGAAAUGUUGGGUUAAGUCCCGCAACGAGCGCAACCCUUAUCCUUUGUUGCCAGCGGUUAGGCCGGGAACUCAAAGGAGACUGCCAGUGA
RNAcentral lists this ribosomal RNA (1165 nucleotides) under Salmonella enterica subsp. enterica serovar Kentucky. RNAcentral describes it as "bacterial SSU rRNA". It matches the Rfam family "Bacterial small subunit ribosomal RNA", at positions 1 to 1158 of the family's 1533-position model. Lineage: Bacteria; Pseudomonadati; Pseudomonadota; Gammaproteobacteria; Enterobacterales; Enterobacteriaceae. The record is from RNAcentral.